This 425-nucleotide ribosomal RNA is filed under the name uncultured bacterium. Its description in RNAcentral is "bacterial SSU rRNA". It matches the Rfam family "Bacterial small subunit ribosomal RNA", at positions 354 to 796 of the family's 1533-position model. The record is from RNAcentral.
GUGGGGAAUAUUGGACAAUGGGGGCAACCCUGAUCCAGCCAUGCCGCGUGAGUGAUGACGGCCUUAGGGUUGUAAAGCUCUUUUACCCGGGACGAUAAUGACGGUACCGGGUGAAUAAGCCCCGGCUAACUUCGUGCCAGCAGCCGCGGUAAUACGAAGGGGGCUAGCGUUGCUCGGAAUCACUGGGCGUAAAGGGCGCGUAGGCGGCUUGCCAAGUCGGGGGUGAAAGCCCGUGGCUCAACCACGGAAUGGCCUUCGAUACUGGCAGGCUUGAGACCGGAAGAGGACAGCGGAACUGCGAGUGUAGAGGUGAAAUUCGUAGAUAUUCGCAAGAACACCAGUGGCGAAGGCGGCUGUCUGGUCCGGUUCUGACGCUGAGGCGCGAAAGCGUGGGGAGCAAACAGGAUUAGAAACCCCAGUAGUCC